RNAcentral lists this transfer RNA (62 nucleotides) under Gondogeneia antarctica. RNAcentral's name for it is "tRNA-Thr". Lineage: Eukaryota; Metazoa; Arthropoda; Malacostraca; Amphipoda; Pontogeneiidae. The record is from RNAcentral.
GCUUUUAUAAUUUAAUAAAAAUAUCAGUCUUGUAAACUGAUCUUGACCUAGUCUGAGAGCUC